CUGGUUCCUUAGCACAGCAUGACAGACAUGGCCCUCACUGACCUCCCAUUUUUUCCUGUGCACUUCCCAUAGUACCCUCUGCCUCACUCACACAAACUUCUGAAACGCCCUUAACAUCUCAUCUUCUUUGGCAUCUCCCUGUUACCUUAUCGACUCUCCCUAUGCUUCCUGCGCUUCUCCUCCCCUUCCUGCCCAACUCAUUCACCCAACAAACAUUUAAGUGCCGUGGUAAGCCAAGGUGGGCUCAUAGUCAUCAUUGAAGACCCAGCUGAGAUUUUGAAAGAGAUAAGGAAUGCUUGCAGUGAAUGAACUAAAGUCCUUUGAACCAGAGUUGCUAAUGCUCCCAAGUGGCAAGAAGUUGGGUUUUUGGCCAGGUCUUCUGUCUUCCAUUGAGGUCACCAUCACCUGUUAUUGUUAGCAUCUUUUGAGUAACUGUUUUCCACUGGUUAGCUCUCUGCUAAAUGGGUUUAAUCUAAAUCUCCGUCUUUAGUUACCUUCAGUAAAAUUUGAGGAGAAAAAAAAAAGAGCAGCAGUCCCAA
Molecule: long non-coding RNA, 539 nt
Filed under: Bos taurus (domestic cattle)
Lineage: Eukaryota; Metazoa; Chordata; Mammalia; Artiodactyla; Bovidae
Description: long non-coding RNA NONBTAT025718
Source: RNAcentral